GCCACGACCUGAGCCGAAGUCAGAUGCUUAACCGACUGAGCCACCCAGGUGCCCCAACAGGUUUGUAGUUUCACCAACAAAGACCUUUUUUUUCUCUUUUUAAUUUACUGUGCUAAUUAGCAGUGUUGGUCAUUGCUUGAGAUGGGGGCGACAGAAACUCUUGGAGCACCUGCCGUUGAGUGUGGCCUUUGCCAGUGGAACGCCAGCUGAGCAUCCCUGAGCCGUGCGUUCUUGAUCGCACACGAACUGACCAUCUCUAGAAUUAAACUAACGGGCACAUCUCUCAUACACCACUGACCAUACUGAAGUAUUUUAAAGUAAAUUACAAGUGUCAUAACUGGCGUUGAGGGAAGAUCAUUGGGAAAGUGGCCUGUGGAAAGACUUGAAGGUGGUGGAGGAGUGAGUGUGCAGCUUUGGGAAGCAUUCAAGGCUGCGAGAGUAGUUAAGUCCGAUAUCCCUGAAGCAGAGUGUGCCUGACCUGUCUGAGGAACAGCAAGGAUCAAGGAAUCCAGUGUGGCUGGAGCCGAGUCAAGGAGGGAGGGAGAGAACAGUAGCGCGUGGUGGCAGAAAGGUGAUAGGGCCGCAUCGCCCGGAACCUUGCAGGCCAUUGUGAGACGGGAGCCGCUGGAGAGUUCUGCGCAGAGCAGUGACGUGAUCUGGCUCAGGUUUUCACGAGACCAAUCAGGUCGUCUUCUUGAAAUAAACUGAUGGGGACGAAGGCCACAGCAAGGUGACCAGCCAGGGACCCAUUGGAACAGGCCGGGCGAGACUGGCCGGAGCAGUGAGAAGUGGUUGGAGUCUGUAUAUACACUGAAGACAGAGCAACAGGGUUUGGUGACAAAUCGGAGGUAGGGUGUGAGAGAAAGAAAGAACUGCAAGUGGACUCAAGGUGUUUGAGCUGAGAAGCCAGAAGGCUGGAGUUGACAUUCACUGAGAUGGCGGGACUGAGCGGGAAGGAGGUGUUGGGGAGGUAGAUCAGGAUUUCUGUUUAACAAGUUUGAAAUGUGGAGUGGAGAUGCGGACUAUUCAGCUGGACACAGGAACUUUACGUUCAAGAGAGAAGGAUAGGCAAGUGUUCUCAAGUUGGAAGUAAUCAACGGAGAGAUGGUCCUUAAGGCCAUCACUCUGGACAAGGGGGUCCAGGGAGUGAGGUAGAAAGUAGACAAAAAAGAGAAGAGGUCCCAGGAUCAAACCCUAAGAGUCCAGCAGUAGGAGGUCAGGAAGAUGAGGAGGACUUAGCCAAGUCUAAGAAGGAGCCACCAAGGAGACGGGAGGAACACCCGAAGAUUGUGUGUCCGGGGAACUGGGGGAGGAAAGUGAGCAAGGAGGAGGCGGUGAUCCACUGUGACGAUGAGGACAGAGAUCGGAGGUUUAACAACACGGAGGUCACCGGUGCCCUCGACGGGACUCCACCUUGGUUGAAAUGGAUGCAAGAGAGAACGGGACGGACGGACAAAGUUGAGGCAGUGAGCAUAAAAACCACCCCUCCGAUCAGUAUUGCCGAAAAGAGCGAGCAAAGAAUGGGAGCAUUUUGAACAUAUAGCAGCUGAAUCCGGAAGUCUUUGCUGAUUGGGUGAAAGGCAAAGGAGGAUACAGAGUUCUUCAAGCUCGGUUCAAGAGGUACCGGUAGGCUCAAGCACAGGACUCCUCCCUUCGGGAUCAAGAAAUUCACCUGGAGCACCCCGGGGAAGCCCCCAGGUCUCAGAAGCACUGCCUCUCUCACUUCGACCGCUGCUUCGGGCUGACGCUUUCAGAUCUUCAUAAAGGCACCGAACAAAGCCAGAUGAUGGACAGCUGUUCAGUGACCCAAGCCGGGGGCGCUGACCAUUCAGCUCCUCAGGAAACCAGAUGCUUGGCUGUGGCUUGGAAGCUGGUUUCACAAGGGGGUAUAAAAUGUGUUCCAGUGUAUUUGUUACGAUGCAGGGAUAAAUAUAUUUCCUUAGAUGACAAGUAUUAAAAACUUGAAGUCUU
Felis catus (domestic cat) is the source of this 1971-nucleotide long non-coding RNA. RefSeq lists it as uncharacterized. Lineage: Eukaryota; Metazoa; Chordata; Mammalia; Carnivora; Felidae. The transcript is spliced from 3 exons. The record is from RefSeq and is a predicted model, not a curated record.